UGCCAGACUCCUACGGGAGGCAGCAGUGGGGAAUAUUGCACAAUGGGGGAAACCCUGAUGCAGCGACGCCGCGUGAGCGAAGAAGUAUUUCGGUAUGUAAAGCUCUAUCAGCAGGGAAGAAAAUGACGGUACCUGAGUAAGAAGCUCCGGCUAAAUACGUGCCAGCAGCCGCGGUAAUACGUAUGGAGCAAGCGUUAUCCGGAUUUACUGGGUGUAAAGGGAGCGCAGGCGGUCUGGCAAGUCUGAUGUGAAAUACCGGGGCUCAACUCCGGGACUGCAUUGGAAACUGUCAGACUGGAGUGUCGGAGAGGCAGGCGGAAUUCCUGGUGUAGCGGUGAAAUGCGUAGAUAUCAGGAGGAACACCAGUGGCGAAGGCGGCCUGCUGGACGAUGACUGACGCUGAGGCUCGAAAGCGUGGGGAGCAAACAGGAUUAGAUACCCCAGUAA
RNAcentral lists this ribosomal RNA (447 nucleotides) under uncultured bacterium. RNAcentral's name for it is "bacterial SSU rRNA". It matches the Rfam family "Bacterial small subunit ribosomal RNA", at positions 329 to 793 of the family's 1533-position model. The record is from RNAcentral.